AUGAACGCUAGCGGCAGGCCUAACACAUGCAAGUCGAGGGGCAGCAUAAACAAGCUUGCUUGUUUGGUGGCGACCGGCGCACGGGUGCGUAACGCGUAUGCAACCUACCUUAUACUGGGGUAUAGCCCGGAGAAAUUCGGAUUAAUCCCCCAUAGUACUAUUUGAUCGCAUGGUUGAAUAGUUAAAGCAUUGCGGUAUAAGAUGGGCAUGCGUCCUAUUAGCUAGAUGGUGAGGUAACGGCUCACCAUGGCUACGAUAGGUAGGGGGCCUGAGAGGGUGGUCCCCCACACUGGUACUGAGACACGGACCAGACUCCUACGGGAGGCAGCAGUGAGGAAUAUUGGUCAAUGGGCGCAAGCCUGAACCAGCCAUGCCGCGUGCAGGAAGAAUGCCCUAUGGGUUGUAAACUGCUUUUAUUUGGGAAUAAACCUCUUUACGUGUAGAGAGCUGAAGGUACCAAAUGAAUAAGCACCGGCUAACUCCGUG
RNAcentral lists this ribosomal RNA (486 nucleotides) under uncultured bacterium. Its description in RNAcentral is "bacterial SSU rRNA". It matches the Rfam family "Bacterial small subunit ribosomal RNA", at positions 29 to 507 of the family's 1533-position model. The record is from RNAcentral.